GACUAGGUGGCGCAACGGUAGCGCGUCUGACUCCAGAUCAGAAGGUUGCGUGUUCAAAUCACGUCCUGGUCA
Molecule: transfer RNA, 72 nt
Organism: Tetranychus urticae (two-spotted spider mite)
Lineage: Eukaryota; Metazoa; Arthropoda; Arachnida; Trombidiformes; Tetranychidae
Rfam family: tRNA
About the family: Transfer RNA (tRNA) molecules are approximately 80 nucleotides in length. Their secondary structure includes four short double-helical elements and three loops (D, anti-codon, and T loops). Further hydrogen bonds mediate the characteristic L-shaped molecular structure. tRNAs have two regions of fundamental functional importance: the anti-codon, which is responsible for specific mRNA codon recognition, and the 3' end, to which the tRNAs corresponding amino acid is attached (by aminoacyl-tRNA synthetases). tRNAs cope with the degeneracy of the genetic code in two manners: having more than one tRNA (with a specific anti-codon) for a particular amino acid; and 'wobble' base-pairing, i.e. permitting non-standard base-pairing at the 3rd anti-codon position.
Source: Rfam